AGUGAACGCUGGCGGUAGGCCUAACACAUGCAAGUCGAACGGCAGCACAGGAGAGCUUGCUCUCUGGGUGGCGAGUGGCGGACGGGUGAGGAAUACAUCGGAAUCUACUCUGUCGUGGGGGAUAACGCAGGGAAACUUACGCUAAUACCGCAUACGACCUACGAGUGAAAGCAGGGGAUCUUCGGACCUUGCGCGAUUGAAUGCGCCGAUGUCGGAUUAGCUAGUGGGCGGGGUAAAGGCCCAGCAAGGCGACGAUCCGUAGCUUGUCUGAGAGGAUGAUCAGCCACACUGGAACUGAGACACGGUCCAGACUCCUACGGGAGGCAGCAGUGGGGAAUAUUGGACAAUGGGCGCAAGCCUGAUCCAGCCAUACCGCGUGGGUGAAGAAGGCCUUCGGGUUGUAAAGCCCUUUUGUUGGGAAAGAAAUCCAGCUGGCUAAUACCCGGUUGGGAUGACGGUACCCAAAGAAUAAGCACCGGCUAACUUCGUGCCAGCCGCCGCAGUAA
RNAcentral lists this ribosomal RNA (506 nucleotides) under uncultured bacterium. Its description in RNAcentral is "partial 16S ribosomal RNA". It matches the Rfam family "Bacterial small subunit ribosomal RNA", at positions 29 to 523 of the family's 1533-position model. The record is from RNAcentral.